AUGGGGGAACCUGAUGCANCGACGCCNCGCUGAAGGAAGAAGUAUCUCNGUAUGUAAACUUCUAUCAGCAGGGGAAGAUAGUGACNGUACCUGACUAAGAAGCCCCNGCUAACUACNUGCCAGCAGCCNCGGUAAUACCUAGGGGGCAAGCNUUAUCCNGAAUUAUUGGGCNUAAAGGGCUCCUAGGCNGUUCNUCCCNUCCGGUGUGAAAGUCCAUCCCUUAACNGUGGAUCCNCNCCNGGUACGGGCGGGCUUGAGUGCCGUAGGGGAGACUGGAAUUCCCGGUGUAACNGUGGAAUGUGUAGAUAUCGGGAAGAACACCAAUGGCNAAGGCAGGUCUCUGGGCCGUCACUGACGCUGAGGAGCGAAAGUGUGGGUAGCAAACAGGAUUAGAUACCCUGGUAGUCCAAGGGCGAAUUC
Molecule: ribosomal RNA, 420 nt
Filed under: uncultured bacterium
Lineage: Bacteria
Description: partial small subunit ribosomal RNA
Rfam family: Bacterial small subunit ribosomal RNA
Source: RNAcentral